Molecule: long non-coding RNA, 150 nt
Organism: Bufo bufo (common toad)
Lineage: Eukaryota; Metazoa; Chordata; Amphibia; Anura; Bufonidae
Exons: 4
Source: RefSeq, a predicted model, not a curated record
CUGAAGUUGGUGGUGAAGGUGUUGCACUGAUGUGAUGAGGAGGGUGAGGAGGAAGCGGAGGAGGAGGCAACAGGAGACACCGAGAAAUAUCCAGCAAUCCUCGGUGGGGGUGGGACAUGCGUCAAACCACUUUCAGCCUCAGGCCCAGCC